GCUGCGGUGUCCGAGUGGUUAAGGAGAUGGACUCGAAAUCCAUUGGGCUCUGCCCGCACAGGUUCGAAUCCUGUCCACAGCG
Molecule: transfer RNA, 82 nt
Filed under: Procambarus clarkii (red swamp crayfish)
Lineage: Eukaryota; Metazoa; Arthropoda; Malacostraca; Decapoda; Cambaridae
Description: transfer RNA serine (anticodon CGA)
Rfam family: tRNA
About the family: Transfer RNA (tRNA) molecules are approximately 80 nucleotides in length.
Source: RNAcentral